GGAUCUUUGGGUUCAGUUGAGAGUAAC
RNAcentral lists this non-coding RNA (27 nucleotides) under Rattus norvegicus (Norway rat). The record is from RNAcentral. Lineage: Eukaryota; Metazoa; Chordata; Mammalia; Rodentia; Muridae.